CCUACGGGAGGCAGCAGUGAGGAAUAUUGGUCAAUGGGCGCGAGCCUGAACCAGCCAAGUAGCGUGAAGGAUGACUGCCCUACGGGUUGUAAACUUCUUUUAUAAAGGAAUAAAGUGAGGUACGUGUGCCUUUUUGAAUGUACUUUAUGAAUAAGGAUCGGCUAACUCCGUGCCAGCAGCCGCGGUAAUACGGAGGAUCCGAGCGUUAUCCGGAUUUAUUGGGUUUAAAGGGAGCGUAGACGGGUUGUUAAGUUAGUGGUCAAAGUUUGCGGCUCAACCGUAGAACUGCAAUUGAUACUGGCCGUCUUGAGUGCAGGUGAGGUAGGCGGAAUUCGUGGUGUAGCGGUGAAAUGCUUAGAUAUCACGAAGAACUCCGAUUGCGAAGGCAGCUUACUAAUCUGCCACUGACGUUGAUGCUCGAAAGUGUGGGUAGCGAACAGGAUUAGAUACCCCAGUAGUC
Molecule: ribosomal RNA, 460 nt
Filed under: uncultured bacterium
Lineage: Bacteria
Description: partial 16S ribosomal RNA
Rfam family: Bacterial small subunit ribosomal RNA
Source: RNAcentral